GGAGAGGUGUGUGAGUGGUUGAAACAGGCAGUCUUGAAAACUGCUAGGGGUGCAAGCUCCUCGUGGGUUCGCCUCCGCCA
Molecule: transfer RNA, 80 nt
Filed under: Candidatus Berkelbacteria bacterium
Lineage: Bacteria; Candidatus Berkelbacteria
Description: tRNA-Ser
Source: RNAcentral